This is a long non-coding RNA of Eriocheir sinensis (Chinese mitten crab), 2348 nucleotides long. RefSeq lists it as uncharacterized. The transcript is spliced from 3 exons. The record is from RefSeq and is a predicted model, not a curated record. Lineage: Eukaryota; Metazoa; Arthropoda; Malacostraca; Decapoda; Varunidae.
UCUAUUUUUCUGGAUCUAACUUUGACUUUUCCUCUAAGAUCUAAGUGAAUUAGCACACACACACACACACACACACACACACACACACACACACACACACACAGAUAAGACAAGAUACAGCCACCCAGCCUGCUUUUGUCCUGUAUGCUUUGACAUCUCAUUUAUCACCACAAGUACCACGGAUAAGGACAACAACAGCCAGGCAGGUACACAGACUCCCCAGGCAACCAGUCAGCACGCCAGGUAGUCAGUCAGGUGUAGAGUUAACCAGCCACACAGUCAUAAAGUUAGUCAUUUGUGCAGUUAACCAGCCAGCCAAUCAAUCACCCAGGUAGUCAGUCAGGUGUAGAGUUAACCAGCCACACAGUCAUAAAGUUUGUCAUUUGUGCAGUUAACCAGCCAGCCAAUCAAUCACCCAGGUAGUCAGUCAGGUGUAGAGUUAACCAGCCACACAGUCAUAAAGUUAGUCAUUUGUGCAGUUAACCAGCCAGCCAAUCAAUCACCCAGGUAGUUAGUCAGGUGUGCAGUCAAUUAGCCAUACAACCAUACAAUCACUCAGCUAUCCAGUCAGGUAUGCUAUCAACUAGCCAUACAAACACACAUUCACCCAGCUAGUCAGUCAGGUAUGCAGUCAAUUGGCCAUAGAAUCAUACAGUCAGUCAGCCCAUCAGUCACCCAAAUAUCCAGUCAGGUCUGCAGUCAACUGGCCAUACAAUAAUACAAUCACUCACCCAGCUAUCCAGUCAGACAUACAACCACACAGUCAGCCAGAAAAUCAGUAAUAGUCAGAUAUACAACCAAUCUGUCUGUGUGCCAGCCAGUUACUCGGGUGCAGUCAAAGAGCUAUACAACCACACAGUCAGCCAUACAUCCAUCGACAAUCAAGGACAUAGUCAGUCAUUUCCAGCCUGCCAGUCAGCCACACAGCCUCGGCAAAUCACACAAACAAGGGCCACAACAAAGGUUUGGGUGCCCGCUAGACUUGUGGCAGGAGUUAACUGAUAGUGACAACAAGGGACUGAUAAUGGAGUAGCACUGUGUAUCAAACGCCCAAACAAUGGCUAAUAUUAUCACACUUAACCAGAGGACUGAUCCAACAUUUUCUUAGCGGCGUUUAUCGUACUGUCACUCACAACAAGGCUGACAAAUCCCGCUCCACUCAUGCACCACUUCCCGCUCAUGUAUAUUAAGCCUGAGUACAACUUAAAUCCACUGCUGCGCGUCCUGCCUUGAUACUUUGAUGCUAGAACCUCAUUAUCAACACCCUUGUUAAUUAAAGUCAUUCUGUUGGUGAAUCGGUUCUUGCCUGUGUCUUUUUGAUAUCUCGAUCGAUCAAAAACCCACUGCACCCUAUUUUUUUAUUAGCAAAACCUUGUAAGCAACGCCCUGGUUAUGCCAAUAUAUUAAUAAACCAGUUCUUACCUGUAUCUUCAUCUGAACAUAUCUAACUUGAACCCUUUGUUAUAUCAGAUAAGAGCCCUGCCAUGAUCUUUUACUAGAAGAACCUUAUAUGCAACGCCCUGGUCAAAGCCGCUCAGUAAACUAGUUCUUUCCUGUAUCUCUUAUCUGAAUAUAUUUACUUGAACCCUUUGCUCUCAGUGCUGCCAUGAUCUUGAUUUGCAGAGCCUCACAAGCAUCUUCCAUGUUAAAACCAACCUAUUAGGAAACCAGUCCUUCCCAGUGUAUUUGCUAUCUGAGUAUAUCUAACCAGAACCUUUUGCUACGAGUCCUGCCAUGUUCUUAUACUUGCAGAGGCUUAUAAGUAACUUUCAUGUUAUAAUCAAUCUAUUUGUGAACCAGUUCUUAUCCGUGUCUCUGAUAUGUGAAUAUAUUAACUUGAAGCCUUUGCUACGCCGCCCUGCAUAUUUAUGUCAGAACCUUAUCGGCAUCGACCCUGUAUAAGCCACUCUCUUUUUGUUUGUCUUUUAUCUGAAUGUACCUAACUGGACCCCACAGCUACGUGUCCCACCCUGUCCUUCUAACAACAGAACAGACAGAACGCAGGGCCAUGUAAAGGACAGACAGUGCAUUCGGUUUCGUCACAGUCCUCCAGGGUUGCCACUUGUUAGUUUGGUUGUCCAUCUGUUAUCAUGUUAACGCAUCAUACGACCUGCCCAAGGCCACCUUUUUCUUCCUUCGUUUCAAGGAAAAUAAUAACUCGUCCCUGGCAAACCUGAGGUACCUGAAGGAAAGGAAGAGAAGGAGAUAAGGAGGCAGGGAAGGAGGCAGGGAGAGAAAAGAGGGAGGCAGGGAAGGAGGGAAGGAGAGAAGGGAGGAAAGGAGGGAAGGUGGGUUAGGAGAGCACACAGAAUCAAUUGUCAAUAGCUGUAUCAUAUUUUCGAGAGAGA